Molecule: ribosomal RNA, 406 nt
Filed under: uncultured bacterium
Lineage: Bacteria
Description: bacterial SSU rRNA
Rfam family: Bacterial small subunit ribosomal RNA
Source: RNAcentral
AAUCAACGCUGGCGGCGUGCCUCAGACAUGCAAGUCGAACGCGAAAGUCCCCUUCGGGGGACAAGUAGAGUGGCGCACGGGUGAGUAACACGUAGGUAAUCUACCUUCGGAUGGGGAAUAACAACCGGAAACGGGUUGCUAAUACCGCAUAAUGCAGCGGCACCUAAUGGUGACAGUUGUUAAAGCGGGGGAUCGAAAGACCUCGGCGUCUGAAGAGGAGCCUGCGGCGGAUUAGCUAGNGGUAAGGUAAUGGCUUACCAAGGCGACGAUCCGUAGCCGGCCUGAGAGGGCGGUCGGCCACACUGACACUGACAUACGGGUCAGACUCCUACGGGAGGCAGCAGUCGGGAAUUUGGGCAAUGGGCGAAAGCCUGACCCAGCAACGCCGCGUGAAGGAUGAAAUCCC